This 253-nucleotide ribosomal RNA is filed under the name uncultured bacterium. RNAcentral's name for it is "partial 16S ribosomal RNA". It matches the Rfam family "Bacterial small subunit ribosomal RNA", at positions 524 to 776 of the family's 1533-position model. The record is from RNAcentral.
UACAGAGGGUGCGAGCGUUAAUCGGAAUUACUGGGCGUAAAGCGCGCGUAGGCGGCUUUGCAAGUCGGGUGUGAAAUCCCCAAGCUCAACUUGGGAACUGCAUUCGAGACUGCAUUGCUAGAGUAUGGGAGAGGGCAGUGGAAUUUCAGGUGUAGCGGUGAAAUGCGUAGAUAUCUGAAGGAACAUCAGUGGCGAAAGCGACUGCCUGGACCAAUACUGACGCUCAUGUGCGAAAGCGUGGGGAGCAAACAGG